Equus caballus (horse) is the source of this 520-nucleotide long non-coding RNA. RefSeq lists it as uncharacterized. The record is from RefSeq and is a predicted model, not a curated record. NCBI's taxonomy places the organism in Eukaryota, Metazoa, Chordata, Mammalia, Perissodactyla, Equidae.
UAGAGGAAGACCCGCGCUGCAAUCUGAGGAGCAUCACUUCGAUAAGAGAAAUGUCUUGACAUCAAAAAUUCUGAAUCUAGCUGCUGAUACAAAUUUGCUCCACAUUUGACAAGAAUUUUCUAAGCAUCAACGUGAGAGCCAAGAAAAGAAGCCGGGUAAUGCAGGAGGCGUUUGUGGAGAGGCAGCAUACACAGGGGGUAAAGCUUAGUCUCUGAGUCCAACUGAUUUGGCAUCAAAUUCCAGUUUUGAGAUUUGUGCAACUGUGGAGGACAAGAGCAGGUUUCAGGGUUUUUUCCAAAUGGUAUUCCAGCAUGCUUUCCCGAGUUCCUAGCUGCCUUCCAACGACUGACACCUGGGUAGCAGAUGGUGCAAAUGGCCCGCUAUAUAUUUCCUGGAUUGAUGAAGAAAACUGUCAGGAACCUGACUGGCCUGGUGCCUCAUGGCAGAAAAUGCUGCUCAGGAGUGACAGUGACUGGAAAUAAUUUUGAUUAAAAUCAUCUGGAAUUUACUGAGUUUCAAA